RNAcentral lists this ribosomal RNA (462 nucleotides) under uncultured bacterium. RNAcentral describes it as "bacterial SSU rRNA". It matches the Rfam family "Bacterial small subunit ribosomal RNA", at positions 29 to 507 of the family's 1533-position model. The record is from RNAcentral.
AACGAACGUUGGCGGCGUGCCUAACACAUGCAAGUCGAGCGCGGGCAGGACUUCGGUCCUGUUCCGAGCGGCGCACGGGUGAGUAACACGUGAGUAAACCUGCCUCGAAGUUUGGGAUAACCGCCCGAAAGGGUGGCUAAUACCGGAUAAGCCCCCACUGGCACAGGCCAGAGAGGGAAAAGCCUUGGCGCUUCGAGAUGGGCUCGCGUCCCAUUAGCUAGUUGGUGAGGUAACGGCUCACCAAGGCGAAGAUGGGUAGCUGGUCUGAGAGGAUGAUCAGCCACACUGGAACUGAGACACGGUCCAGACUCCUACGGGAGGCAGCAGUGGGGAAUCUUGCGCAAUGGGCGAAAGCCUGACGCAGCAACGCCGCGUGCGGGAUGACGGCCUUCGGGUUGUAAACCGCUUUCAGCAGGGACGAAAAUGACGGUACCUGCAGAAGAAGCUCCGGCUAACUACGUG